Molecule: ribosomal RNA, 223 nt
Filed under: uncultured bacterium
Lineage: Bacteria
Description: partial 16S ribosomal RNA
Rfam family: Bacterial small subunit ribosomal RNA
Source: RNAcentral
CGACGUGAGUAACCUGCCUUGGAGUGGGGAAUAACACAGUGAAAACUAGUGCUAAUACCGCAUAAUGCAUUUGGGUCGCAUGAUUCUGAAUGCCAAAGAUUUAUCGCUCUGAGAUGGACCCGCGUCUGAUUAGCUAGUUGGCGGGGUAACGGCCCACCAAGGCGACGAUCAGUAGCCGGACUGAGAGGUUGGCCGGCCACAUUGGGACUGAGACACGGCCCAG